This 2900-nucleotide ribosomal RNA is filed under the name Klebsiella pneumoniae UCICRE 2. RNAcentral's name for it is "bacterial LSU rRNA". It matches the Rfam family "Bacterial large subunit ribosomal RNA". The record is from RNAcentral. Lineage: Bacteria; Pseudomonadati; Pseudomonadota; Gammaproteobacteria; Enterobacterales; Enterobacteriaceae.
UUAAGCGACUAAGCGUACACGGUGGAUGCCCUGGCAGUCAGAGGCGAUGAAGGACGUGCUAAUCUGCGAAAAGCGUCGGUAAGGUGAUAUGAACCGUUAUAACCGGCGAUGUCCGAAUGGGGAAACCCAGUGCAAUUCGUUGCACUAUCGUUAACUGAAUACAUAGGUUAACGAGGCGAACCGGGGGAACUGAAACAUCUAAGUACCCCGAGGAAAAGAAAUCAACCGAGAUUCCCCCAGUAGCGGCGAGCGAACGGGGAGCAGCCCAGAGUCUGAAUCAGCUUGUGUGUUAGUGGAACGGUCUGGAAAGUCCGACGGUACAGGGUGAUAGUCCCGUACACCAAAAUGCACAGGCUGUGAACUCGAAGAGUAGGGCGGGACACGUGGUAUCCUGUCUGAAUAUGGGGGGACCAUCCUCCAAGGCUAAAUACUCCUGACUGACCGAUAGUGAACCAGUACCGUGAGGGAAAGGCGAAAAGAACCCCGGCGAGGGGAGUGAAAAAGAACCUGAAACCGUGUACGUACAAGCAGUGGGAGCACCUUCGGGUGUGACUGCGUACCUUUUGUAUAAUGGGUCAGCGACUUAUAUUCUGUAGCAAGGUUAACCGUAUAGGGGAGCCGCAGGGAAACCGAGUCUUAACUGGGCGUUAAGUUGCAGGGUAUAGACCCGAAACCCGGUGAUCUAGCCACGGGCAGGUUGAAGGUUGGGUAACACUAACUGGAGGACCGAACCGACUAAUGUUGAAAAAUUAGCGGAUGACUUGUGGCUGGGGGUGAAAGGCCAAUCAAACCGGGAGAUAGCUGGUUCUCCCCGAAAGCUAUUUAGGUAGCGCCUCGUGAACUCAUCUUCGGGGGUAGAGCACUGUUUCGGCUAGGGGGUCAUCCCGACUUACCAACCCGAUGCAAACUACGAAUACCGAAGAAUGUUAUCACGGGAGACACACGGCGGGUGCUAACGUCCGUCGUGAAGAGGGAAACAACCCAGACCGCCAGCUAAGGUCCCAAAGUCAUGGUUAAGUGGGAAACGAUGUGGGAAGGCACAGACAGCCAGGAUGUUGGCUUAGAAGCAGCCAUCAUUUAAAGAAAGCGUAAUAGCUCACUGGUCGAGUCGGCCUGCGCGGAAGAUGUAACGGGGCUAAACCAUGCACCGAAGCUGCGGCAGCGACACUAUGUGUUGUUGGGUAGGGGAGCGUUCUGUAAGCCUGCGAAGGUGUGCUGUGAGGCAUGCUGGAGGUAUCAGAAGUGCGAAUGCUGACAUAAGUAACGAUAAAGCGGGUGAAAAGCCCGCUCGCCGGAAGACCAAGGGUUCCUGUCCAACGUUAAUCGGGGCAGGGUGAGUCGACCCCUAAGGCGAGGCCGAAAGGCGUAGUCGAUGGGAAACAGGUUAAUAUUCCUGUACUUGGUGUUACUGCGAAGGGGGGACGGAGAAGGCUAUGUUAGCCGGGCGACGGUUGUCCCGGUUUAAGCAUGUAGGCUGGUUGUCCAGGCAAAUCCGGAUAAUCAAGGCUGAGGUGUGAUGACGAGGCACUACGGUGCUGAAGUAACAAAUGCCCUGCUUCCAGGAAAAGCCUCUAAGCAUCAGGUAACAUUAAAUCGUACCCCAAACCGACACAGGUGGUCAGGUAGAGAAUACCAAGGCGCUUGAGAGAACUCGGGUGAAGGAACUAGGCAAAAUGGUGCCGUAACUUCGGGAGAAGGCACGCUGGUGUGUAGGUGAAGUCCCUGCGGAUGGAGCUGAGACCAGUCGAAGAUACCAGCUGGCUGCAACUGUUUAUUAAAAACACAGCACUGUGCAAACACGAAAGUGGACGUAUACGGUGUGACGCCUGCCCGGUGCCGGAAGGUUAAUUGAUGGGGUUAUCCGUAAGGAGAAGCUCUUGAUCGAAGCCCCGGUAAACGGCGGCCGUAACUAUAACGGUCCUAAGGUAGCGAAAUUCCUUGUCGGGUAAGUUCCGACCUGCACGAAUGGCGUAAUGAUGGCCAGGCUGUCUCCACCCGAGACUCAGUGAAAUUGAACUCGCUGUGAAGAUGCAGUGUACCCGCGGCAAGACGGAAAGACCCCGUGAACCUUUACUAUAGCUUGACACUGAACAUUGAGCCUUGAUGUGUAGGAUAGGUGGGAGGCUUUGAAGCGUGGACGCCAGUCUGCGUGGAGCCAACCUUGAAAUACCACCCUUUAAUGUUUGAUGUUCUAACGUUGGCCCCUGACCGGGGUUGCGGACAGUGUCUGGUGGGUAGUUUGACUGGGGCGGUCUCCUCCCAAAGCGUAACGGAGGAGCACGAAGGUUAGCUAAUCCUGGUCGGACAUCAGGAGGUUAGUGCAAUGGCAUAAGCUAGCUUGACUGCGAGCGUGACGGCGCGAGCAGGUGCGAAAGCAGGUCAUAGUGAUCCGGUGGUUCUGAAUGGAAGGGCCAUCGCUCAACGGAUAAAAGGUACUCCGGGGAUAACAGGCUGAUACCGCCCAAGAGUUCAUAUCGACGGCGGUGUUUGGCACCUCGAUGUCGGCUCAUCACAUCCUGGGGCUGAAGUAGGUCCCAAGGGUAUGGCUGUUCGCCAUUUAAAGUGGUACGCGAGCUGGGUUUAGAACGUCGUGAGACAGUUCGGUCCCUAUCUGCCGUGGGCGCUGGAGAAUUGAGGGGGGCUGCUCCUAGUACGAGAGGACCGGAGUGGACGCAUCACUGGUGUUCGGGUUGUCAUGCCAAUGGCACUGCCCGGUAGCUAAAUGCGGAAGAGAUAAGUGCUGAAAGCAUCUAAGCACGAAACUUGCCCCGAGAUGAGUUCUCCCUGAGACUUUAAGUCUCCUGAAGGAACGUUAAAGACGAUGACGUUGAUAGGCCGGGUGUGUAAGCGCAGCGAUGCGUUGAGCUAACCGGUACUAAUGAACCGUGAGGCUUAACCUU